RNAcentral lists this ribosomal RNA (63 nucleotides) under Trichophyton benhamiae. RNAcentral's name for it is "partial large subunit rRNA". It matches the Rfam family "Eukaryotic large subunit ribosomal RNA", at positions 1 to 61 of the family's 3401-position model. Lineage: Eukaryota; Fungi; Ascomycota; Eurotiomycetes; Onygenales; Arthrodermataceae. The record is from RNAcentral.
GUUGACCUCGGAUCAGGUAGGGAUACCCGCUGAACUUAAGCAUAUCAAUAAUCGGAGGAAAAG